GGACCGUGAAAUUGGGGUAAAAACUCUAAUUUGGCAUUAAAAUUAGAAAAGAUCAUAUUCAUAGGGGAACAUGUGUACUAAGUUUGAAGUCGAUUGGACUUCAACUUCAUCAAAAACUACCUUGACCAAAAACUUUAACCUGAAGCGGGACAGACGGACGGACGAACGGACGGACGAACGAACGGACAGACGGACGGACGGACGGACGCACAGACCAGAAAACAUAAUGCCCCUCUACUAUCGUAGGUGGGGCAUAAAAAUGUUUGAAGAAAUUUUCUUUUUUAUUUAUGAAAUUUCAAAUGAGAAAAAUGAACCCAAUUUUUUUAAUCACAUCCCUUUCCCUUAUUCCAAAACUAAUCUCAAUUAAAAUUUCUAAUGGAGUUUGCAACAAUAACUACUCAUUUAAAUACAUCAUAAAAUAUUAAGAUGUAAAAAAACUGCUUGUUAUCACUGAAUGUUAUUUAUUAUAAUUUAUCAGUUGGUAGUAAAAAGUGAAUAUACAUUGUAUAUUGUAUAUAACAAAGAUUUAAGUUGAUUCUGGACAAAGAAAGAUAACUCCAAUUAAAAAAAAAUCUUGCUAUUGCACAAUAUUUUGCAAUUAGAUAUUUCUUGCUU
RNAcentral lists this long non-coding RNA (615 nucleotides) under Mytilus galloprovincialis (Mediterranean mussel). The record is from RNAcentral. Lineage: Eukaryota; Metazoa; Mollusca; Bivalvia; Mytilida; Mytilidae.